This 905-nucleotide ribosomal RNA is filed under the name Sphingobacterium thalpophilum. RNAcentral describes it as "bacterial SSU rRNA". It matches the Rfam family "Bacterial small subunit ribosomal RNA", at positions 38 to 936 of the family's 1533-position model. The record is from RNAcentral. Lineage: Bacteria; Pseudomonadati; Bacteroidota; Sphingobacteriia; Sphingobacteriales; Sphingobacteriaceae.
AGCGGCAGGCCUAAUACAUGCAAGUCGGACGGGAUCCAUCGGUAGCUUGCUAUCAAUGGUGAGAGUGGCGCACGGGUGCGUAACGCGUGAGCAACCUGCCUCCAUCAGGGGGAUAGCCUCUCGAAAGAGAGAUUAACACCGCAUAACAUAAUAUUCCGGCAUCGGGAGAUUAUUAAAUAUUUAUAGGAUGGAGAUGGGCUCGCGUGACAUUAGCUAGUUGGUGGGGUAACGGCUCACCAAGGCGACGAUGUCUAGGGGCUCUGAGAGGAGAAUCCCCCACACUGGUACUGAGACACGGACCAGACUCCUACGGGAGGCAGCAGUAGGGAAUAUUGGUCAAUGGGCGGAAGCCUNAACCAGCCAUGCCGCGUGCAGGAUGACUGCCCUAUGGGUUGUAAACUGCUUUUGUCCGGGAAUAAACCUCCUUACGAGUAGGGAGCUGAAUGUACCGGAAGAAUAAGGAUCGGCUAACUCCGUGCCAGCAGCCGCGGUAAUACGGAGGAUCCGAGCGUUAUCCGGAUUUAUUGGGUUUAAAGGGUGCGUAGGCGGCCUGUUAAGUCAGGGGUGAAAUACGGUGGCUCAACCAUCGCAGUGCCUUUGAUACUGACGGGCUUGAAUCCAUAUGAUGUGGGCGGAAUAAGACAAGUAGCGGUGAAAUGCAUAGAUAUGUCUUAGAACUCCGAUUGCGAAGGCAGCUCACUAAGCUGGUAUUGACGCUGAUGCACGAAAGCGUGGGGAUCGAACAGGAUUAGAUACCCUGGUAGUCCACGCCCUAAACGAUGAUAACUCGAUGUUGGCGAUAGACANGCCAGCGUCCCAGCGAAAGCGUUAAGUUAUCCACCUGGGGAGUACGCCCGCAAGGGUGAAACUCAAAGGAAUUGACGGGGGCCCGCACAAGCGGAGGA